Molecule: ribosomal RNA, 680 nt
Filed under: uncultured Fibrobacterota bacterium
Lineage: Bacteria; Pseudomonadati; Fibrobacterota
Description: bacterial SSU rRNA
Rfam family: Bacterial small subunit ribosomal RNA
Source: RNAcentral
GUCGUGCGAGACAGUCUCUUCGGAGAUGAGUAGAGCGGCGAACGGGUGAGUCUAACAUAGUAACCUGCCUCUAAAUCUGGGACAACCUUUCUAACGAGGGGCUAAUACCGGAUGUGAUGAUUUUAACUCAUGUUAUUAUUAUUAAAGAUGACCUCUUCUUGAAAGUUAUUGUUUAGAGAUGGACUUGCGUACCAUUAGUUUGUUGGUGGGGUAACGGCCUACCAAGACUACGAUGGUUAGCCGACCUGAGAGGGUGAUCGGCCACAUUGGGACUGAGAUACGGCCCAGACUCCUACGGGAGGGAGCAGUAGGGAAUCUUGCGCCAUGGACGAAAGUCUGACGCAGCAACUCCGCGUGAAGGAUGACGGCCUUAGGGUUGUAAACUUCUGUUGAAUGGGAAGAAUAGGGUUUGUGCUAAUCAGCAGAUCUAUGACGGUACCAUUUUAGAAAGCACCGGCUAACUACGUGCCAGCAGCCGCGGUAAUACGUAGGGUGCAAGCGUUGUUCGGAAUCACUGGGCGUAAAGCGAAUGUAGGCGGGGAAGUAAGUUAGAAGUGAAAUGUAUCGGCUCAACCUGUAAUCUGCUUUUAAUACUGCUUUUCUUGAGUAUGGAAGAGGAAGAUGGAAUUUCAGGUGUAGCGGUGGAAUGCGUAGAUAUCUGAAAGAACACCAGUUGCGAA